GUUCUGCCUCUGCAGCCGCGACACCCGCGCGUGCCUUCGCCUCCGCCGCCGCGAUGGCCGUGCCUCUGCCCCCGCCUCCUCCGCCCUCGCGACGCUGCGCCCUCCCCCGCGAUGCCUGCGCCUUCGUCCCCGUGAUGCUCGCGCCUACCCCCGCCUCCUCUGCCCCCGCGACACCGCGCGCGCAGCCUCCUCCCCGCGAUGCCCGCCCAAGCUCCCAAAUGCCGGCCCCCGUCUCCUCCACCGCGACUCCCCUCGCUCUCCCGAGACUCCCAGAUGCUGGCCCCCGUAUCCUCGGCCCUGAUGCCGCCGCGAUUCCCAGAUGCCGGCCCCCGUAUCCUCGGCCCCGCGCUCGCUCUCCUGAGCUCCGACGGGCUCCCGCCCUAGCCCCUGACACCAUGUUGUGCCCAACCCUAAACCUAGCCACCACGCCGUCAACAACGCCACCUUCCUUCCUCGCCACCACACCUUCUUUAGAUGGAAGGCGCGACUGGUGGCAUCUUCCUGAUCUCGGAGCACGUCUAAUCCUCGCUCCAAAUGCUGCUCCGCCCCCAAUCCGUGCGGCAUCUUCAGAUGGAAGCCGGGACAAUGCCCCAUCCCCCUCUCCCGAGCCCCGACGACUGACAUUCCAGGGAUGUCGCUCUGCGAUCCUCACCUCCUCGUCGUUGGCGGUCGCGCGACCUCCUGACCGUCGUCUCCGCCCGCGAGAUCCCCCCGACUCGCCCACCUCUCCGUCCACAGCCGCCUCCAUCACGCACCUCCACGCCGACGAGAAGGCUCGCCCACCUCUCAGUCCACGACUGCCUACGACGCGUCUUCUGAAUAAAGAUCUCUCGAAGCACCCGGUGGAUGGGUUCUCUGCUGGGCUGGUCGACGACAGCAAUGUCUUCGAGUGGCAGGUCACCAUCAUCGGACCGCCUGACACCCUAUAGAUUGGUUGUUGGACCUGUUUGGUGUUCUUCAUGAUGGGAAGAAGUCGUACCCGACCAUUCUGGCAUGUAUGUUGGUAGUUUCUCUCGAGAGUUUAUAUUAGCCCAUGGUACUGAAGUCUUUGGUUCACCUUCUAGCAAUCCUCUUCCCAAAAGUCUCGAGAAGCUUGAGCAGGUUCUAAUGCUUGGCCUAGAAAAGGGACUUCCAAUGGUGCUGCCUAAUCCAGAAUUCCAGAUUAUGUCACUGUCGAAGCUUGAGAUCUUCGUGUCAUGUCUGGGUUUGGAGGCUCGUCGGCAACCGGACAGGAAAACAGCAAGGCGGAAGGGCAUUGCUCGAUCGCUGGUCCGAUGAGUGGCACUGUCAGGGAGCGUGACAGGGGCGACAAAUCUAGACCUCCACGUCGGUAAGAUGUUGUGGCAAAAUGUCAGUGAGCUCACAUUUUGAGGAGCUGAGGGUCAAUGUCAGCGAGCUCACUGUUGAGGAGCUGAGGGUCCCUGAGUACCUGCAGUUCAAGGAACAACUUAUGGAAGAAGGCUUUAAGGUUGAGGCUGGGAGAACUUACCAUCGGACAGUUCUAGAGAUACUUGACCAAUUGGAAAAAUGUGCAAAAUCAUGUUCUCCUAUUGAUAGAAGCAUUUAUUUAGAUUUGGCUUACAUUGAUGGAUGAAUAUGAUUUAUAUGAAGUUCCUGGUAUCUAUCGGCUUCAUGGUAUAUCUCUACUACUCUUAAGAAGAUACCAGAUAAUAACAAGGCAAAUAGAUGGUUACUGUGGCAGUCAAAAGUUUGAAGCCAGAUGCGCUUCAAGGUCAUAGAGAAUGGGUGGCAGAAGUUGACUUUCUGGGACAGUUGCAUCAUAAACACCUUAUUAAGCUGAUUGGAUAUUGUAUUGAGGAUGAUCAAAGGUUACUUGUAUAUGAAUUUCAUGGCACGGGGAAGUCUUGAAAAUCAUCUUUUCAGAAGGACUCUUCCCCUACCUUGGUCCAACAGGAUGAAGAUUGCUCUAGGUGCCGCGAAAGGACUAGCCUUCCUCCAUGGAGGUCCCAAACCUGUUAUUUACAAGGAUUUUAAGACAUUGAAUGUUCUUCUUGAUGUGGAGUACAACGCAAAACUAUCUGAUUUCGGUUUAGCAAAAGCUGGUCAUCAGGGUGAAAAAACUCAUGUAUCUACUCGGGUUGUUGGCACCUAUGGUUAUGUUGCACCAGAGUAUGUAAUGACAGGUAUCAGGGAUAAACUUUUGACUUCAGUAGCUACCUAUAGCAGAAAUUAUGUACCUUGUUUAUCUGUUGCAUGUUGGUUCUUUACACUGUUUUCUGAGCUUGUAGUUAUUCUCGUGUUCACUCCAUAUUGGAUAGUAAAUUGGCUUAACAUUUUUGUCCGAAGACAUAAAACUAAGGUGCCAUUACAAAUGUUCUUCUUUCAAGUGAAACUGUGUUUUUCGUUUUUACAUGCAGUAAAGGUUGUAAGGCUGUAGACUUAUAUAAUGAAUCUUGCGCUCCACUUCUUUGGGACAUGAUUUAACAUUUCUUAACAUUUCUCACUCUAUAACGCUUUCAGAUCACUUUUCAUAUGUUUUUUAGAUGCACUUUUUUUUUGGAGACUAAGCCCUAAGGGCAACAAUGGAGAUGACCAGCGUCUUGGUUUAUCAAGAGGAAGUUAAUCCCUCUCAACUGAAACUCCCAUCAAAUUUGGGGCGUAGUGUGUCGAUUCAGUUGUAACUAUUAUAUGUCAUUUUGGGUUAGCAAACUGUAUCUACUAAUUUCUCAGACUUAUGCCUUUUGAGCUAGAAACUUGUGUAAGAAUUUUUUGCACUCAGUGACAUGCUGGAUAGUGCGAGUAGCAGAUUACAAUAGUGACGGAUGAACAUUGUAUUUUACUUUACAUGAUGGAUUUUUUUGAUGUGUAAGGCUUUUAAGGCAUGUAAAAAUUCUUAACUUUUAAAAGAUGCUAAC
Zea mays is the source of this 2876-nucleotide RNA transcript. It is a transcript of the gene named receptor-like serine/threonine-protein kinase pseuodgene, with no coding region annotated. NCBI's taxonomy places the organism in Eukaryota, Viridiplantae, Streptophyta, Magnoliopsida, Poales, Poaceae. The transcript has 11 exons. The record is from RefSeq and is marked validated.